GAUGAACGCUGGCGGCGUGCCUAAUACAUGCAAGUCGAGCGAACAGAUGAGGAGCUUGUUCCUCUGACGUUAGCGGCGGACGGGUGAGUAACACGUGGAUAACCUACCUAUAAGACUGGGAUAACUUCGGGAAACCGGAGCUAAUACCGGAUAAUAUAUUGAACCGCAUGGUUCAAUAGUGAAAGACGGUUUUGCUUUCACUUAUAGAUAGAUCCGCGCCGCAUUAGCUAGUUGGUAAGGUAACGGCUUACCAAGGCAACGAUGCGUAGCCGACCUGAGAGGGGGAUGGGCCACACGGGAACUGAGACACGGUCCAGACUCCAACGGGAGGCAGAAGUAGGGAAUCUUCCGCAAUGGGCGAAAGCCUGACGGAGAAACGCCGCGUGAGUGAUGAAGGUCUUCGGAUCGUAAAACUCUGUUAUUAGGGAAGAACAAAUGUGUAAGUAACUAUGCACGACUUGACGGUACCUAAUCAGAAAGCCACGGCUAACUACGUG
Molecule: ribosomal RNA, 497 nt
Filed under: uncultured bacterium
Lineage: Bacteria
Description: partial 16S ribosomal RNA
Rfam family: Bacterial small subunit ribosomal RNA
Source: RNAcentral